AAGCGCGUGUUCAGCGGAUUCUGGACGCGGGGGAGCGAACCCCGCUGGCAGAGGUUCGACUCCUCUCGCGCGCACCA
RNAcentral lists this transfer RNA (77 nucleotides) under compost metagenome. RNAcentral's name for it is "tRNA-Arg". The record is from RNAcentral.